GCUUCGUAACCAACAAAUUUCGAUUCAGCAUCCCAAAAAUCAUAGAAAAACUCCAAGUUACUGAGGGGAGCUUGAAAUUUACACUCAGAUGGCACCAGCGCCCGGACUAAUUACGAUACGAAUGCCAAAGAAGUGGAACUCUUCUGGGUACUUGUAGACGUUCGUGAAAACAUCUGGAUAACCAACAGCACAAGGAAUUCCUCCAGACACAACACCGAUGAUUUCGUCGUUGGCUACCAAUGGGCCGCCACUGUCACCAGAGCAAGCACCAGCUCCUUUCUUGACGAAUGUGCAGACGCGAGGUUGGCCUGAGCAUGGUUCCCCAUCCAGAGACGACAGCUUCGUCACCGAUAGUGACGUCUUUCGUGGGAAGCUUGACUAAAGCCACACGACUCGACAGUUUGACUUCAGAAUGAUCACACCGAUGUCGUACAUCCAGUCAGGAUUUGGCUUGCUGACGUAGUUCGGAUGCGAAGACAGAGCUUUGAUUCUGUAUGUCGAUCCACCACUGGAUACACUGUUGGUACCGACAACGGCAGACAACCUGCUCAAGCCAGUGCUCUUGACGGCGGCGACACAGUGAGCUGCUGUCAGUACGUGCUUCUUGGUGAUCAGUGCACCUCCACAAAAGUGUUUUCUUCCUAAACGCAGGGACACUUGGUAUGGGAAUUCAGCAAUGUCGGCGUUUUUUGCGCCAACCAAUUUAUCCGUAACUCCUGCAUUGGCUCCUAAUAAGGAGACACGUUUUUUAUUAGCAACAAUUAUUAUAAUUCGCUAAUAGACUUGAAAAAAAAAAUAGUUACCUAGUGCUAGAGCACUGAUGAGUAAAAAGAACAGUUGAGAAACCAUGAUCGCUGCUGAUGCUUGCAAGAGGAACUGUGAGCUGGUUAUGCUUUUUGAGAAAGCUCAAAAUGCUUUUAUACUGCCGACCGCAUGCACUCGUCAAACAUGAGAGCCUUGAAUUUUAAUUGCGUACGGUUGAUUAAUUUCGAGAAAGGGGAGGGAACGAAUUUUUAAUUACAUUAUAAUACAAUUUUCGAUUCGUUUCCGCUGCUCGAAUAUUCAUAACCGUACCGUAAGCCAUAUUAAGCAAUCAAUCAUGCGGUUUCCGAAUAUCAACUCGGUUUUUGUUUUGCCAGGUGGUGUGGCUUUCAAGCAAUCGCAUGUAGUAUAUAUAAUGAUUUGACAGUUUUCGGAUGUAAACCCCGUCAUUCGUACACUAAAUUAUGCAGAAAUAAAUCAUCGCC
Nasonia vitripennis (jewel wasp) is the source of this 1247-nucleotide long non-coding RNA. RefSeq lists it as uncharacterized. The transcript is spliced from 4 exons. Lineage: Eukaryota; Metazoa; Arthropoda; Insecta; Hymenoptera; Pteromalidae. The record is from RefSeq and is a predicted model, not a curated record.